This 561-nucleotide ribosomal RNA is filed under the name Wickerhamomyces sp. H4Y33. RNAcentral's name for it is "eukaryotic LSU rRNA". It matches the Rfam family "Eukaryotic large subunit ribosomal RNA", at positions 48 to 612 of the family's 3401-position model. Lineage: Eukaryota; Fungi; Ascomycota; Saccharomycetes; Phaffomycetales; Wickerhamomycetaceae. The record is from RNAcentral.
AAGCUGAGGAAAAGAAACCAACAGGGAUUGCCUCAGUAACGGCGAGUGAAGCGGCAAAAGCUCAAAUUUGAAAUCUAGCACCUUCGGUGUUCGAGUUGUAAUUUGAAGAUGGUAACCUUGGGUUUGGCUCUUGUCUAUGUUCCUUGGAACAGGACGUCAUAGAGGGUGAGAAUCCCGUCUGAUGAGAUGCCCAUUCCUAUGUAAGGUGCUAUCGAAGAGUCGAGUUGUUUGGGAAUGCAGCUCUAAGUGGGUGGUAAAUUCCAUCUAAAGCUAAAUAUUGGCGAGAGACCGAUAGCGAACAAGUACAGUGAUGGAAAGAUGAAAAGAACUUUGAAAAGAGAGUGAAAAAGUACGUGAAAUUGUUGAAAGGGAAGGGCAUUAGAUCAGACUUGGUGUUUUACGAUUAUCUUCUCUUCUUGAGUUGUGCACUCGUAUUUCACUGGGCCAGCAUCGAUUCGGAUGGCAAGAUAAUGGCAGUUGAAUGUGGCUUCACUUCGGUGGAGUGUUAUAGCUUCUGCUGAUAUUGCCUGUCUGGAUCGAGGGCUGCGUCUUUGACUAGGA